AAGCUCUGGAGAAUCUCAUUUUAUUGGGUACCGAAGGUGCAAAGCAGCUUUUAUCUGCCGAAACUCUCAGGUCAAAGGACAGGGUA
This 86-nucleotide non-coding RNA is filed under the name bovine gut metagenome. Its description in RNAcentral is "Glycine riboswitch". It matches the Rfam family "Glycine riboswitch aptamer", at positions 9 to 86 of the family's 94-position model. From Rfam's summary of the family: This family represents the bacterial glycine riboswitch. Glycine riboswitches usually consist of two metabolite-binding aptamers domains with similar structures in tandem. The record is from RNAcentral.